AUGAAUUCGCUGCGUUUGUACUCUUUCACGGUAGUUUCAUUGUUAGGGACAUGGCAAGUUUAUUAUACCUACCAUGAAAAUUUUAUUUGUGAAAAUACUCACGGUAAAUUUGGUUCUUACUAUCAUGCCAAAUUUAUUUACUGUGGGAAGGACUUCUUAAAAAUUUCUCUCCAUGCUGUUUUAUUUCGCCAAAAAAUCACCAAAACGCCCGCUGCCCCCAAAUCCCCACCCCGGCCUGCAAUUCAUUCCAAUCGCCCGUGCGCCGCCCCAAAUCGCCAUCGCUGCCCCCAAAUCGCCCGAGGCCGCCGGUCGGAGCCCACCGGUCGGUCUCCUCCGCCACCACAUCUUCUCGCCGUCGCACCGUUCCUCACCUCACCACCGCCGCGCCGUUCUUCUCCUCCUCUUGUGCUCGCUGCCACCUAG
RNAcentral lists this ribosomal RNA (423 nucleotides) under Triticum aestivum (bread wheat). RNAcentral's name for it is "partial small subunit ribosomal RNA". Lineage: Eukaryota; Viridiplantae; Streptophyta; Magnoliopsida; Poales; Poaceae. The record is from RNAcentral.